Molecule: non-coding RNA, 377 nt
Organism: Maylandia zebra (zebra mbuna)
Lineage: Eukaryota; Metazoa; Chordata; Actinopteri; Cichliformes; Cichlidae
Source: RefSeq, a predicted model, not a curated record
UUUUGUUUCCUGCUCGGCUCCAGCAACUCGUUUCACUUUGACAGCGACAGUUUGGAUCACUGUGUCGGAGUCUGGGGUCUUUAUCUGUGAGUGGAGGAACUCAUUGAUCAACAGUACAGGAUCUGCAGUCUGGAGAUGAUGUUCAGAGUAGGCAGAUGAAGAAACACAUCACAGAGAAGCUCUGAACUUAAAAUCCUCGAAGAUAUUUUCUCUUUUGUUUGUUUGUUUGUACUUGAAAGUUUUUUAAGAAAGCAGCACGUAUUUCCAGUGCUGACUAAAAUAUUUAUUUGAGAGUAAAGAGUGAUGGCUCUUCAGGAGAUCAGUGAGAUCUUUACACACAGACCCUCGGCCUUCUCUGCUGCUGUGCUGCUUCUGAC